CUUUCACGCGCACAUGACUGAAUCCUUACUUUACUCGUACCUCUCGUUCUCCUUCGGCGGGGCAGCCUGCCGUUGGAACAGCCAAAACUCUUUUUUUUUUGCAUCCAGCAUUACCUGUUCUGAUACAAACAAUCGUUACAACUUUCAACAAUGGAUCUCUUGGCUCUGGCAUCGAUGAAGAACGCAGCGAAAUGCGAUAAGUAGUGUGAAUUGCAGAAUUCAGUGAAUCAUCGAAUCUUUGAACGCACAUUGCGCCCCUUGGUAUUCCAUGGGGCAUGCCUGUUCGAGCGUCAUCUACACCCUCAAGCUCUGCUUGGUGUUGGGCGUCUUUGUCCCGCCUCCGCGCGCGGACUCGCCCCAAAUUCAUUGGCAGCGGUCCUUGCCUCCUCUCGCGCAGCACAUUGCGCUUCUCGAGGUGUUGCGGCCCGCGUCCAGAAAGCAAUCGUUACCGUCUUUGACCUCGGAUCA
This 468-nucleotide ribosomal RNA is filed under the name Paraconiothyrium sp. LVPEI.H4323_11. RNAcentral's name for it is "eukaryotic LSU rRNA". The stretch from base 140 to 293 matches the Rfam family "5.8S ribosomal RNA". The record is from RNAcentral. Lineage: Eukaryota; Fungi; Ascomycota; Dothideomycetes; Pleosporales; Didymosphaeriaceae.